AUUGAACGCUGGCGGCAUGCCUUACACAUGCAAGUCGAACGGCAGCAUAGGAGCUUGCUCCUGAUGGCGAGUGGCGAACGGGUGAGUAAUAUAUCGGAACGUGCCCUAGAGUGGGGGAUAACUAGUCGAAAGACUAGCUAAUACCGCAUACGAUCUACGGAUGAAAGUGGGGGAUCGCAAGACCUCAUGCUCCUGGAGCGGCCGAUAUCUGAUUAGCUAGUUGGUGGGGUAAAAGCUCACCAAGGCGACCAUCAGUAGCUGGUCUGAGAGGACGACCAGCCACACUGGGACUGAGACACGGCCCAGACUCCUACGGGAGGCAGCAGUGGGGAAUUUUGGACAAUGGGGGCAACCCUGAUCCGGCAAUGCCGCGUGAGUGAGAAGGCCUUCGGGUUGUAAAGCUCUUUUGUCAGGGAAGAAACGCUUCUGGAUAAUACCUGGGACUAAUGACGGUACCUGAAGAAUAAGCACCGGCUAACUACGUGCCAGCCGCCGCCGUAA
RNAcentral lists this ribosomal RNA (501 nucleotides) under uncultured bacterium. Its description in RNAcentral is "partial 16S ribosomal RNA". It matches the Rfam family "Bacterial small subunit ribosomal RNA", at positions 30 to 523 of the family's 1533-position model. The record is from RNAcentral.